GCAAACUUGGUCAUUUAGAGGAAGUAAAAGUCGUAACAAGGUUUCCGUAGGUGAACCUGCGGAAGGAUCAUUACAGUAUAUUGAAUUCUUAUUCAUAUCAACCCACACUGUGUACCUUUUAUUUGUUGCUUCCAUGGGACAUGGCUCUGCCACGUCGGCCUCUGGGCUGAUGAGUUCCCAUGGAAGGAAACCCAUAACUCUUUUUAUUUUUGACAUCUGUCUGAAUAGUUUUUAUAAACGUUAAAACUUUCAACAACGGAUCUCUUGGUUCUCGCAUCGAUGAAGAACGCAGC
This 293-nucleotide unclassified non-coding RNA is filed under the name uncultured fungus. RNAcentral describes it as "partial contains small subunit ribosomal RNA, internal transcribed spacer 1, and 5.8S ribosomal RNA". The stretch from base 1 to 73 matches the Rfam family "Eukaryotic small subunit ribosomal RNA", at positions 1759 to 1831 of the family's 1831-position model. Lineage: Eukaryota; Fungi. The record is from RNAcentral.